GGGGACAUGAGCGAAUCCGUGAGGAAACUUGAGGGCCCCACCGUGCGUCCAACGGUGGCCGCAUGUCGACGUGGAAAGGGCGAGCCCGCCGUUCCGGUGCUGGUCACCACUGCACAUCCGAAGAGCACCCGGGGCCGUAAAAAGAGAUCGAGACCAUCAAAAGAAGCCAGUGCACCGGCCAUGGAUACCACGACCACCAAGGGGCGCA
Molecule: long non-coding RNA, 208 nt
Organism: Dermacentor silvarum
Lineage: Eukaryota; Metazoa; Arthropoda; Arachnida; Ixodida; Ixodidae
Exons: 3
Source: RefSeq, a predicted model, not a curated record